RNAcentral lists this ribosomal RNA (425 nucleotides) under uncultured bacterium. Its description in RNAcentral is "bacterial SSU rRNA". It matches the Rfam family "Bacterial small subunit ribosomal RNA", at positions 356 to 773 of the family's 1533-position model. The record is from RNAcentral.
GGGGAAUUUUGGACAAUGGGGGCAACCCUGAUCCAGCAAUGCCGCGUGUGUGAAGAAGGCCUUCGGGUUGUAAAGCACUUUUGUCCGGAAAGAAAACGUUCUGGUUAAUACCUGGGGCGGAUGACGGUACCGGAAGAAUAAGCACCGGCUAACUACGUGCCAGCAGCCGCGGUAAUACGUAGGGUGCGAGCGUUAAUCGGAAUUACUGGGCGUAAAGCGUGCGCAGGCGGUUUUGUAAGACAGGCGUGAAAUCCCCGAGCUCAACUUGGGAAUUGCGCUUGUGACUGCAAGGCUAGAGUAUGUCAGAGGGGGGUAGAAUUCCACGUGUAGCAGUGAAAUGCGUAGAGAUGUGGAGGAAUACCGAUGGCGAAGGCAGCCCCCUGGGACGUCACUGACGCUCAUGCACGAAAGCGUGGGGAGCAAAC